UGGGGAAUAUUGCGCAAUGGGGGGAACCCUGACGCAGCCAUGCCGCGUGAAUGAAGAAGGCCUUUGGGUUGUAAAGUUCUUUCGGUAUUGAGGAAGGUUGAUGUGUUAAUAGCACAUCAAAUUGACGUUAAAUACAGAAGAAGCACCGGCUAACUCCGUGCCAGCAGCCGCGGUAAUACGGAGGGUGCGAGCGUUAAUCGGAAUAACUGGGCGUAAAGGGCACGCAGGCGGUUAUUUAAGUGAGGUGUGAAAGCCCCGGGCUUAACCUGGGAAUUGCAUUUCAGACUGGGUAACUAGAGUACUUUAGGGAGGGGUAGAAUUCCACGUGUAGCGGUGAAAUGCGUAGAGAUGUGGAGGAAUACCGAAGGCGAAGGCAGCCCCUUGGGAAUGUACUGACGCUCAUGUGCGAAAGCGUGGGGAGCAAACAGGAUUAGAUACCCUGGUAGUCCACGCUGUAAACGCUGUCGAUUUGGGGGUUGGGGUUUAACUCUGGCGCCCGUAGCUAACGUGAUAAAUCGACCGCCUGGGGAGUACGGCCGCAAGGUUA
This 547-nucleotide ribosomal RNA is filed under the name uncultured bacterium. Its description in RNAcentral is "bacterial SSU rRNA". It matches the Rfam family "Bacterial small subunit ribosomal RNA", at positions 355 to 896 of the family's 1533-position model. The record is from RNAcentral.